GGUAUUGCGCCGGAUGAACGGAUAACUCUGAUGAUGUUAAAUAUGGGUGCACAACCCCAAUACCU
Molecule: transfer RNA, 65 nt
Filed under: Sirsoe methanicola
Lineage: Eukaryota; Metazoa; Annelida; Polychaeta; Phyllodocida; Hesionidae
Description: tRNA-Ile
Source: RNAcentral